Long non-coding RNA from Gossypium arboreum, 1000 nucleotides. RefSeq lists it as uncharacterized. NCBI's taxonomy places the organism in Eukaryota, Viridiplantae, Streptophyta, Magnoliopsida, Malvales, Malvaceae. The transcript has 3 exons. The record is from RefSeq and is a predicted model, not a curated record.
AAUAUCACCGAAAGUUGCCCAAUCAGAAAUUAUUGAUUCUCGUCUUGUCUAUCAGCCAUCAUUUCUCUCUUUAUGACGGUUUCAGUUCUCAAGGAAAGCUUUAUCACCAAAAACCUAUUCAUCUAUUUUAUUGAGGCUUUCCUUCCUUAUUUCCUCUUCUCUGACCGUUCUCAAUUUGGUUCUUGCACCCUAUCAGUUUUCUUUUGGUUUUCGAUAUAUCCAGGACGCUUUUAACCAGCAGUGAAGGCCGAUGCCACCUCUUGAUGAAUUUCUGAACAAGAUAAGAGGAUGAUCGUUUCAUUAUUUCUGGCCACAAUCCCCGAAGUCGAUUGGAAAUGAUGCCCAUCGUAUGCUCCGUCAAAAUUGAUUUUUACGGACUCACAUCGCUACUUUUCUUAUCAUGCAUUCUAGCAUUCCUUUCUCCCUAAAUGGCCCAUAGCACACAGCAAAAAAGUCGGCAUUGAAAAUGGGGAUAUUGAACAAUAACCCAGGUAAGCCACUGUAAAAAAUCCAUAUUAGAAUCCAUUACAAUAUUCGAGAUUGAUAAUGCUGUCCAGACUUCCACUGAAACAGGGCAUUCGCGGAAGAGGUGAUCAAUUAUUUCUGCUCCUUCUCCAUAUCGGGGACAGGUUGUAAUGUUAACUAGCUUCCUGUGCUGCAUGUUAACCCGUGUAGGCAAAUAAUUCUAUAAUAUUCUCCAGAUUGUAAUCUUGAUUUUAGUUGGGAGAUUUUGGAGCCAAAAUUUUUUGUAGAAAUUCCUGUAGUCUGUUUGUAAAGCAUAAGCUCUAGUGUUUUCACAGAAUUUUGUAAUAGUUUAUAGGCGCUACGGACUGAGUACUCUCUCGAAGAUUCGCCGCUCCAUACAAAAAAGUCAUUGUGGGGUUCCUUCGCCAAUAGGAUACGAAAGAUCUUUUCAGCAUCUUCCUCUGAAAGUGUAUUAACAAUAAGCUCCCGUUUUCAUAUUCUUUCAUUACUAUCAAUUAACUCAGCAACUUUAGAA